RNAcentral lists this ribosomal RNA (253 nucleotides) under uncultured prokaryote. RNAcentral's name for it is "partial 16S ribosomal RNA". It matches the Rfam family "Bacterial small subunit ribosomal RNA", at positions 525 to 777 of the family's 1533-position model. The record is from RNAcentral.
ACGUAGGGGGCAAGCGUUGUCCGGAAUUAUUGGGCGUAAAGAGCGUGUAGGCGGUCCGGUAAGUCAGCUGUGAAAGUCAAGGGCUCAACCCUUGAAUGCCGGUUGAUACUGUCGGGCUAGAGUCCGGAAGAGGCGAGUGGAAUUCCCGGUGUAGCGGUGAAAUGCGCAGAUAUCGGGAGGAACACCAAUGGCGAAGGCAGCCCCCUGGGAUAAUAUUGACGCUCAUGCACGAAAGCGUGGGGAGCAAACAGGA